GACGGAGGGUGCGAGCGUUAUUAGGAAUCAUUGGGCGUAAAGAGUGUGUAGGCGGCCGGUUAAGUCAGGCGUGAAAGCCCAGGGCUCAACCCUGGAAGUGCGUUUGAAACUGGCUGGCUUGAGUUCGGGAGAGGGAAGCGGAAUUCCUGGUGUAGAGGUGAAAUUCGUAGAUAUCAGGAGGAACAUCGGUGGCGAAGGCGGCUUCCUGGACCGAAACUGACGCUGAGACACGAAAGCGUGGGGAGCAAACAGG
RNAcentral lists this ribosomal RNA (253 nucleotides) under uncultured bacterium. Its description in RNAcentral is "partial 16S ribosomal RNA". It matches the Rfam family "Bacterial small subunit ribosomal RNA", at positions 524 to 776 of the family's 1533-position model. The record is from RNAcentral.